UACGUAGGGUGCAAGCGUUAAUCGGAAUUACUGGGCGUAAAGCGUGCGCAGGCGGUUUUGUAAGACAGAGGUGAAAUCCCCGGGCUUAACCUGGGAACUGCCUUUGUGACUGCAAGGCUUGAGUGCGGCAGAGGGGGAUGGAAUUCCGCGUGUAGCAGUGAAAUGCGUAGAUAUGCGGAGGAACACCGAUGGCGAAGGCAGGUCUCUGGGCUGACACUGACGCUCAUGCACGAAAGCGUGGGGAGCAAACAGG
This 253-nucleotide ribosomal RNA is filed under the name uncultured bacterium. RNAcentral's name for it is "partial 16S ribosomal RNA". It matches the Rfam family "Bacterial small subunit ribosomal RNA", at positions 524 to 776 of the family's 1533-position model. The record is from RNAcentral.